RNAcentral lists this long non-coding RNA (735 nucleotides) under Bos indicus x Bos taurus (hybrid cattle). Its description in RNAcentral is "lncRNA (ENSBIXG00000027878.1)". Lineage: Eukaryota; Metazoa; Chordata; Mammalia; Artiodactyla; Bovidae. The record is from RNAcentral.
GCUGGAUUGGGCAGGAGGAUUGUGGGGGAAGGUGGGGGGCAAAUUCUGCCUCUGCAUGGAGCCACCAGCAUGGACAUGGUCCACUGCCUGGAGUUUGAUCAGCAGAGCCCUCUCGUCGGCAGGGAGGCCAGGAACUCCCUUGUUCCAGGUGGUGAGGAGGCUCCCCAUCUGUGUAGCAUCCUCUUGUGGAGAGUGAGCUGGGGCUCGCCUCACACAGGGAGCUUCCGAGCCAGCAAAGAUGCCAAACAGCGAGUGCAGCGAGUGUUUGGGGGAAAUGAAUAAAUGGACUUGUGCAGGAGCGAGUGACAUGUGCUAGAGGCUAGGAUUUACCUGUGACCAGGAGCUGAUCCCAGGACCUGAUUCUUCAGCUUCACCUCUUGCACUCAAGAAUGCUGCCAGGCCUGAGUUCUUCGCCUUGGGUGUCCAUGCGCUGUCUCUUUGAAGUCAAAGGAGAAAGCUUUCACCUAACCUGUAGAGCCUACAUCUGUGCCGAGAGUGAUGCCACACAAACUUCCUGUCUUUCCACAUCAGGGGUUCUGGGACUAAGGAAUGGUCUCCGCCCUGAGCCUCCCCUUCUGGGAUCCACCACCCAGGAGAUGCUACUCAGUAGCUAAGUUCAUGAGCCAAGUAUGGAGAAGAGAAUGGAUUGCUACCCACCUCCCAAGUCCUCCCCUGCCCUGCCAGCUCCCCCUGCUGAAAGGGGGGCAGCGACCUGAACACUGCAGACGGAGUGGC